CCAUGAAUUUUAGUAAGUUAAUAACUCCUAUUAAUUUAUUUAUAUGGUGGCACAAAAUCGGAAGCCCCGACUGUUUACUAAAAACACAACUAUCUGCAAUUAUGAAAAUAAUAGUAUAGGUAGUGAGAUUUGCCCAAUGCCAUAUUAAUAAGUAAUAAUAAUGGGUAACUGUUUCUUUACAAAAAAUUGGUUAAUAGCGGUCUUAACUAUGAGGAUCCUAAGGUAGCAAAAUAAAUUGGCCAUUAAAUGUGGUCCAGUAUCAAUAAUUUAACGAUGGCUUCACUGUCUCUACAACUUGCUCAGUGAAAUUGAAUUACCCGUGCAGAUGCGGGUUACCUCAAAGAGGACGGGAAGACCCUAU
Molecule: ribosomal RNA, 361 nt
Filed under: Pulveroboletus ravenelii
Lineage: Eukaryota; Fungi; Basidiomycota; Agaricomycetes; Boletales; Boletaceae
Description: LSU rRNA
Rfam family: Bacterial large subunit ribosomal RNA
Source: RNAcentral